RNAcentral lists this ribosomal RNA (269 nucleotides) under uncultured prokaryote. Its description in RNAcentral is "partial 16S ribosomal RNA". It matches the Rfam family "Bacterial small subunit ribosomal RNA", at positions 524 to 792 of the family's 1533-position model. The record is from RNAcentral.
GACGAAGGUGGCAAGCGUUGUUCGGUAUUACUGGGCUUAAAGCGUGUGUAGGCGGAAAAUUAAGCGUUGUGUGAAAUCCCCCGGCUUAACCGGGGAACUGCAUAACGAACUGGUUUUCUUGAGGCAAGUAGGGGUGCAUGGAACUCUUGGUGGAGCGGUGGAAUGCGUAGAUAUCAAGAGGAACGCCAGCGGAGAAAUCGGUGCACUGGGCUUGUCCUGACGCUGAGACACGAAAGCGUGGGUAGCGAACGGGAUUAGAUACCCCCGUA